UCUAAGACUUAGAGACUGUGGGUGGAUUACUAGGUGCUUUGAACCGACGAAGGACGUCAAACUGACGAAAUUUCUAAGUAGAACACUGUCCAUGCUGUGUGCAGCUUUAAAGAUAUUUUCCAGAACUUAGAAUUCUCCGAAUAAGGAAACUUUUAUCUAUACAAGAGCUUGUGUAAGGUUACGUGAGGAACUGAAACAUCUUAGUACUCACAGGAAAAUAAAAUAACAAGGAGUAUCUUCGUAGCGGCGAGCGAGUUGAUAUGAAAACACCUAAGUUACCUUGUUUGUCUAAAAAGACAAACAAGGUAACUGUAGAUCUUGUAGAUCAGGACUGGAGAAAUCUUGAUUGAAAUAGCAAACCCCUCUUUGUAAGAAUUAAGUCGACAUUAAGUUGUGUAAUAAUGACCUUUAUUACAAAAUUCUUUUUGUAGGUGUUGAUAUUCAAAGUAACCGAUAGUGAAAAGUACCGUGAGGGAACGUUGAAAUAGAGCCUGGAGAGGUGAUGAAAUAGGUAAUUGAAACCUACAGUCUAUGACCAAUGGAAGGGUUUUUGAACCUAACUAUGUGCCUAUUGAAGAAUGCGCCAAUGAGUUUUAAUAGUGUGGCAAGGUAUAAAACAUAUAUGUUUUACAAGCGCCUAAGUGAAAACGAGUCAAAAACGGCAAGAGUCCUCUAUUAAAGACCCGAAUCUAAGUGAUCUAAUCAUGUUCAAGGCGAAAUUUGUGUAAAAGCAAAUGAAGGCCUGCACUGGUUGAUGCUGCAAAAUCAUCGGAUGAAAUGUGGUUAGGGGUGAAAUGCUAAACGAACUUAGAUCUAGCUGGUUCUCUUUGAAAUAUGUCGAGGCAUAGCUACAGAUAAUAUUUUUGUAGGUAGAGCACUUUUUUACGGUGGGCCCUCGGGUAUCAUAGUAAGAAAAACUCCGAAUGGCAAAAAAGUUUUAUAUGUAAGUCAUACAAUGAGAGAUAACUUCCGUUGUAGAAAGGGAAACAGCCCUCAUCACCCAAUAAGGCACUUAAAUUAUAUUUUAAAAUCACGGUAUGUGAGCUGACCUGGACAACUAGGAGGUUGGCUUAGAAGCAGCAAUCCUUUAAAGAGUGCGUAAUAGCUCACUAGUCGAGUCAGUUUGCGCUGCAAAUGUAAGGUUCUUAAAGUAUAUGCCGACGUGGUGAAAAUGCAUUUGCAUUUGGUAAAAGAGUGUUCUCAAUUCAGUAAUGGUAGUACAGUUUGAGAAACUGUACUAACCCUAGCCCGUAUCUAAAAAUGUUCUAGACCCACAAUUAACAGGCCCGAUUAAGUGAAGUAUAAGUUAUAUAAUGUUAUAUAAUAACACCGUUUUGCUUUAGAGAGGUCACAAGUUAAGUAUUAGUUCUGGGCAUUUGGGUAUGAUUAAGGUAAGGCAUCGAAGUUUUGAGAAGUAAGACUAUUGGCUUGAGUAACGUUAACAGUGGUUUUCAGUUAACUAAUUAAGAGAGUAUCCACUGCCUUGAUUACCCAAGGGUUCCUCCACAUAACGGAUUAUUCAUGGGGGGUUAGUCGGAACCUAAAGUCUAACCGGCGGUUUAGAACGAUGGAAGGUGCUGACGAAAAUUCAGUGUAGAUACAGUGCUUGUCACUCAAUGACGACGGGGUUUUGUGGUUGCUUACAAGGUUCCGCCCAAGAAAAGUUGAGGUUUUAAUAACAUUUUGGUUUAUAUAAAUAGAAUUGCGUUACAGAAAUGAGAUACAUAGAUUAUAGACGUUAAAGGUUGCUACCUUCCUAUUUUAUAAAUAAUGUUUUACGUGCUGUUUUUUCCGUACCGUAAAUUGACUCAGAUGGGUAAGUUUGAAUAAAACCAGAGGUUCGAAAUAAUUCUCUUUAAGGAACUCGGCAAAAUGACUCCGUAACUUCGGGAGAAGGAGAGCCUUUUAGUAAACUGACAAAAGGUUAUUGUUAAGAGGUUUGAGCGACUGUUUAUCAAAAACACAGGUCUCCGCUAAGUUGAAAGAUGAUGUAUGGAGGCUGACGCCUGCCCAGUGCCAAUCGGCUAUAAAUUGAUGAAGUGUAAUUUGCUUUGUUAUGAAGCCCUGGUAAACGGCGGCCGUAACUAUAACGGUCCUAAGGUAGCGAAAUUCCUUGUCGGGUAAGUUCCGACCCGCAUGAAAGGCGUAACGACUUAAACACUGUCUCAAAGAGAAAGUCGGUGAAAUAGCAGUGUCUGUGAAGAUGCGGACAUAUCACAUUUGGACAGAAAGACCCUAUGAAGCUUUACUAUAAAUUAAUAUUGCUAAUUAAUUCUCAUUAUACAAUUAAAGUGGGAGAUACGUCGUCAGUGAGAUACCACUUGGUGUAGGGUUAAUUAACUAACGAGAAGUCAAACUUUUCAGACAGUGUUAAUAAGAUAGUUUGACUGGGGCAGUCGCCUCCUAAAAGGUAACGGAGGUGUACUAAGGUCUUCUCAGAAUCGGUCGGAAACCGUUUGUAGAGCAUAAAGGUAUAAGAGGGCCUAACUGUGAGAUUAGUGUAUCGAGCAGAAACGAAAGUUGGUCUUAGUGAUCCGGCAGUGCUUAGAGGAAGGCCUGUCGCUCAACGGAUAAAAGUUACUCUAGGGAUAACAGGCUAAUCUCCUCCUAGAGUCCCUAUCGACGAGGAGGUUUGGCACCUCGAUGUCGGCUCGUCGCAUCCUGGGGCGGUAGUAGGUCCCAAGGGUUGGUCUGUUCGCCCAUGAAAGCGGCACGUGAGCUGGGUUCAGAACGUCGUGAGACAGUUCGGUCCGUAUCCAAUGUGAGCGUAAAUAAACAGAGAAGUAAUUUUUCUAGUACGAGAGGACCGAAAAAUGACUCUCCCUGGUGUACCAAUUAUUUUCAGAGUCUUUUGGUCACUCCAGAGAGGUAUUCGUUGGGUAGCUACAGAGUUCCUAAAUAACCGCUGAAAGCAUCUAAGUGGGAAGUUAGCUUUAAGACCAGUUUGUUGUAUUUUUGAUCUAAGGGCAAAGCAAGAACAGCUUAUAGAUAGUUAGCCUGUGUAAGUUUAGUAAUAAGUGUUAGCUAAGCUACCCUAACAGCAUCAAAUCUUAGAGAC
Molecule: ribosomal RNA, 3058 nt
Filed under: Chromera velia
Lineage: Eukaryota; Chromeraceae
Description: bacterial LSU rRNA
Rfam family: Bacterial large subunit ribosomal RNA
Source: RNAcentral